GGGAGCGACCAUUCUUGGCCGAAUGCACCAUAUCCCGUCCGAUUUGUGAAGUUAAGCGGCCACAGGCCUCGUUAAUACGGCGAUCAGUGAUGGUGCUGGAACCCGGGGGGCCGUACCCU
RNAcentral lists this ribosomal RNA (119 nucleotides) under Trypanosoma theileri. The record is from RNAcentral. Lineage: Eukaryota; Euglenozoa; Kinetoplastea; Trypanosomatida; Trypanosomatidae.